This is a long non-coding RNA of Hyla sarda, 385 nucleotides long. RefSeq lists it as uncharacterized. The record is from RefSeq and is a predicted model, not a curated record. Lineage: Eukaryota; Metazoa; Chordata; Amphibia; Anura; Hylidae. The transcript has 3 exons.
CUCUGCUAGCGAUAUGGUCUCCUUGGCUGCUCGGAGAACCUCUGUGGCACGUUGGAAAUCUUGUGUUGCCCUCUGUGCUUCCAACUGAGCCUAUAUGAUCGAAUAAAAACAGAAAAAAUCAGGUCCUCAGCAAAUGCUAGUGCCUCCUAUUCAACUUGAUUAGGACUUUGUGUAAGAACCACAUUCACUCCAUAAAUGCUUCACUGACAUGGAAUUAAAGUAUUUUAGGAAUUGGGUCAGGAUUUUCCCCACUUAAUCUAGUAACAAGAUAAGGCAGUAGCAGAUGGUGACCCAGUAUGAGCGAUCGGCAAAUGUAAAGGAACCAGCGAUAAUUUAAGGUGAGGUAAAGGAACAAGAUGAUAGCCACAACUUUAACCAUUCAUUU